Molecule: ribosomal RNA, 498 nt
Filed under: uncultured bacterium
Lineage: Bacteria
Description: partial 16S ribosomal RNA
Rfam family: Bacterial small subunit ribosomal RNA
Source: RNAcentral
GACGAACGCUGGCGGCGUGCCUAAUACAUGCAAGUCGAGCGGACGAAUCGAAAGCUUGCUUUUGAUUCGUUAGCGGCGGACGGGUGAGUAACACGUGGGCAACCUGCCCUGUAGACGGGGAUAACACCGAGAAAUCGGUGCUAAUACCGGAUAACACGAAAUGUCGCAUGACGUUUCGUUGAAAGACGGCGCAAGCUGUCGCUACAGGAUGGGCCCGCGGCGCAUUAGCUCGUUGGUGAGGUAACGGCUCACCAAGGCGACGAUGCGUAGCCGACCUGAGAGGGUGAUCGGCCACACUGGGACUGAGACACGGCCCAGACUCCUACGGGAGGCAGCAGUAGGGAAUCUUCCGCAAUGGACGAAAGUCUGACGGAGCAACGCCGCGUGAGCGAAGAAGGCCUUCGGGUCGUAAAGCUCUGUUGUUAGGGAAGAACAAGUAACGCAGUAACUGGCGUUACCGUGACGGUACCUAACGAGAAAGCCACGGCUAACUACGUG